CCGACAUCUGCGGCCCACCAGCACGCAGAAGAGUCAGAUGUAUUCCAACUGUGUGGCAAUAGGUGACGACUUCAUCGCUCUUCAACCUCUCUCCAGAGCCAAGAAUCCGCUGGGCAAAAUUAGUCUUUAUCAGCGCCCCAGGUCAAGGCCCUCAGCUGUGAUGUAAACCU
Molecule: long non-coding RNA, 170 nt
Organism: Hippocampus comes (tiger tail seahorse)
Lineage: Eukaryota; Metazoa; Chordata; Actinopteri; Syngnathiformes; Syngnathidae
Exons: 3
Source: RefSeq, a predicted model, not a curated record